CAGCCGCCGCGGGAAUACAGAGGGUGCAAGCGUUAAUCGGAAUUACUGGGCGUAAAGCGCGCGUAGGUGGUUUGUUAAGUUGGAUGUGAAAUCCCCGGGCUCAACCUGGGAACUGCAUCCAAAACUGGCAAGCUAGAGUAUGGUAGAGGGUGGUGGAAUUUCCUGUGUAGCGGUGAAAUGCGUAGAUAUAGGAAGGAACACCAGUGGCGAAGGCGACCACCUGGACUGAUACUGACACUGAGGUGCGAAAGCGUGGGGAGCAAACAGGAUUAGAUACCCCAGUAGUCCCUGUCUCUUAUAC
RNAcentral lists this ribosomal RNA (301 nucleotides) under uncultured bacterium. RNAcentral's name for it is "partial 16S ribosomal RNA". It matches the Rfam family "Bacterial small subunit ribosomal RNA", at positions 509 to 807 of the family's 1533-position model. The record is from RNAcentral.